UACCAGGUACAAAGAUUCUGAGCGACCUCAGGGUUGCCCUGGAAUCCUCGAGGGAAUGUAGUGAGGUGUCAGUAUUGUCAUGGAACAGCUUCAGUCCUAUGAAGGUGAGAUCUCCCAUUGUGUUUUGUACCUCUCUCUGAGACAGGCCAGACAACUGAAGCCAGGAUGCUUACCUCAUCAGAACAGCAGUGCUAGAGAACACGAAGCUGUAUCAGCAGUGUUGAGGGCAGUCUGUAAAGAAGUCUUGGCUAGGAGUUGGCCCUCAGAAAUGAAGGCUUGGAACUGCUCCCUCUUGUCCUGUGACAAAUAAUUAAAAUGAGUAACUUUGCAUAGUUACUAAAGUCAUAUUUUGUCAUCAGGCUUGGUAGUUUGCUACCCAAAACUGAAGGGCAGAGGAAGAAUAACUUCCUGCCAAGGAAGUCUAGGCAUUUGGUCCAGGGCCCUAGCCAGAGAUGAAGGACAAGGUAUCAAGGAGGAUGCUGAGGUGAUAGACUGGUAUUUCUCUGGCUCUCUUCUGUGCUUGCUAGCAGGCUUGUCUCAAGUUUCUCUGCCUACUUGGGCCGUACCAGGGCCCCAGGGCGGUGUCAAUAGGGACCUUGGAGGUACCCAUUUUGGGACAUGAGCUGACCUAUCUCUUUUUCUGGAGGCUUUGUCCAGAAGGAGAGCUCUCUCUUUUUAGAGUGCUUCACCUCUGAAGGAGUCUCAGAAGCCACUGAGGUACUGGGAGGAGUGGGGAGAUCAGACCCCACAGCUCUUAGGGAGAGCUCCAUGAGGAGCUCACCUCACCUCACCUCCUCACCUCCCUUUCCUUGCAAGACCUGCUCUUAAAUGUUGUGCAAACGUCACCAUGUUUAAGAAUCGCCAACACACCAGAGAUAGCUAGAGUGCCCAUUGCUCUGGGGGGGAAAAUGUAUUGCACAACUGGCAGGCUUUGAUGCCUGGAGCUUUUGGCAUGCCCCAGUGUACGGCCAGUGGGAAGGCCAAAGAAUUGGUCCCCAAAAAGUAGGAAAGAUGGUGGCAGAGGAGGGUCUCUAAACCCACAGUAUGUGCGGGGGUGUGAUCUUGAAGCCAAUGAAGUUAAUGGCAAAACUCAUCUUCAAAGGGAGCACAACUUGGGCAAAAGUUAUGUUUAUUUCAAAGAAAAAAAACCCCACACAUUCUGGGGAAAAUUCUUACUGCCUGUACCCACACAAAUAGCCCCAUUGACUUUGACGGGACAACUCCUGAAAAUAAAGCUUUUUAUUACCUUGCAUGCUGAAAUGUGUUUGUUUCCAAGCACAGCAUCAAUUUUGUUGCAUGUUUUUAGAUAUUAUAAAUACAAACACACACACACACACACACUCUCCCCACUCCCAAGUUCUUCCCACCUGGAAAACAGAUUCAGAACUUCAGAUGAGUAAAAGAGGCAACAGUCAUAAGUAAAU
This 1424-nucleotide long non-coding RNA is filed under the name Chrysemys picta bellii (western painted turtle). RNAcentral's name for it is "lncRNA (ENSCPBG00000019874.1)". Lineage: Eukaryota; Metazoa; Chordata; Testudines; Emydidae. The record is from RNAcentral.